RNAcentral lists this ribosomal RNA (262 nucleotides) under Leifsonia sp. ISO218_OTU1136. RNAcentral describes it as "partial 16S ribosomal RNA". It matches the Rfam family "Bacterial small subunit ribosomal RNA", at positions 29 to 289 of the family's 1533-position model. RNAcentral also lists the same sequence under 19 other names. The record is from RNAcentral. Lineage: Bacteria; Bacillati; Actinomycetota; Actinomycetes; Micrococcales; Microbacteriaceae.
ACGAACGCUGGCGGCGUGCUUAACACAUGCAAGUCGAACGAUGAACCAGGAGCUUGCUCUUGGGGAUUAGUGGCGAACGGGUGAGUAACACGUGAGUAACCUGCCCUUGACUCUGGGAUAACCUCCGGAAACGGAAGCUAAUACCGGAUAUGACGCACGGAGGCAUCUCCUGUGCGUGGAAAGAAUUUCGGUCAAGGAUGGACUCGCGGCCUAUCAGGUAGUUGGUGAGGUAACGGCCCACCAAGCCUACGACGGGUAGCCG